Molecule: long non-coding RNA, 208 nt
Filed under: Lathyrus oleraceus (garden pea)
Lineage: Eukaryota; Viridiplantae; Streptophyta; Magnoliopsida; Fabales; Fabaceae
Description: Pisum sativum (pea) long non-coding RNA (PSAT_LNC017929)
Source: RNAcentral
AUUAUAUUUCUUUUCCAAUUAAUUUCUCACUCAAUUUUAUUUCAUUUUGGUCCAAAUUGUUUACACAAGGUCUCUUAAAACAUUUACAUCACAUACAUUUUUCUCCCAUUUUUUAAAAUCAUUUUUGUGUUUUUGGUUAUUUUUAUUUCAUUUUAUUUUUAAUUCCCUUUUGCAAUUUUUUUUAUCAUUUUCAAACAUUCUUGUAUCC